RNAcentral lists this ribosomal RNA (497 nucleotides) under uncultured bacterium. RNAcentral's name for it is "partial 16S ribosomal RNA". It matches the Rfam family "Bacterial small subunit ribosomal RNA", at positions 28 to 507 of the family's 1533-position model. The record is from RNAcentral.
GAUGAACGCUGGCGGCGUGCCUAAUACAUGCAAGUCGAGCGAACGGACGAGAAUCUUGCUUCUCUGAUGUUAGCCGCGGACGUGUGAGUAACACGUGUAUCACCUACCUAUAAUACUGGUAUAACUUCGAGAAACCGGAGCUAAUACCGUAUAAUAUCUUGAACCGCAUUGUUCAAUAGUGAAAUACGGUCUUGCUGUCACUUAUAGAUGGAUCCGCGCUGCAUUAGCUAGUUGGUAAGGUAACGGCUUACCAAGGCAACGAUGCAUAUCCGACCUGAGAGGGUGGUCGGCGACACUGGAACUGAGACACGGUCAAGACUCCUACGGGAGGCAGCAGUAGGGAAUCGUCGGCAGUGGGCGAAAGCAUGACGGAGCAACGCCGAGUGAGAGAUGAAGGUCUUCGGAUCGUAAAAAUCUGUUAUUAGGGAAGAACAUAUGUGUAAGUAACCGUGCACAGCUUGACGGUAACUAAUAAGAAAGCAACGGCUAACUACGUG